This 1446-nucleotide unclassified non-coding RNA is filed under the name Hevea brasiliensis (rubber tree). Lineage: Eukaryota; Viridiplantae; Streptophyta; Magnoliopsida; Malpighiales; Euphorbiaceae. The record is from RNAcentral.
UCUUCUUCUUCUUUAGCUAUGUGAUAAGUUGGUGUAAGGAGCCAGAAUGGAAAGGAAAAACCUAAAUGACAUGCAGUGAAGUAAUAUCAAAAGAUUAAUAAUUUUUUGAUAUUAAUGCGGAAUUGAUAUCAAAUCAAGUAGAAUGACGCAAAAAGAUCCAUAUAAUCAACUCUAAUUAGUUUGAAAUUAAGACUUAGUAGCUGUUUGUUAAUUUGUUGUAUAUCAGUACGCCAAAUGCAUGUUCAUAAUAUGCAUGCAACUUGAACACCAUAAAUUGAAAAAGAAAUAAUAAUUAAAAUCUACAGAUGUAAACUUGUGCAAAGAAGUAAAGAGAACCUAAUCUUCAAUUUGUUGUUGAAUGCUCUAUCCCCUCAAAUGCAUCACUUCCUCUCUAUUCCACAUGACACAAAAGCACUGCCUGAUGGACCUUCAUAGGUAGUAAAAAAGGAAGUAUAGAGGGGAAGAGGAGGAUUAUAGAAAGAAGCAACUAGGAAGGAGACCCUUCAUGUUUGGAUAACAAAGAAAAGGAAGAAUAGCAUCCAACAGAUUUUUGUUCCUAAAAGGACUAGAAGGGCUGCUCAAACUUGUUUUUAUUUAUUGGAAGAAAGGACAAAAUAAGCUUUCAACCAUUUCUAUACUUUCCCUUCCCAAUCUCUCCAAUUUGGUAGGAUUAGGAAUUGAAGGAUCCAUUGCAAGGAGCUUGUUCUUUUCCUUUCCUUCCAACCAAUCAAACGAUUGAAUCCUUCAUCUCACAUCUUUCCUUUUCCCUUUUCCUUUCCAUUCAUUCUUCUGCCCAACCAAACAUACUGUUAGGCGUGAUGCAUCACUAAAAUCAGCAGUCAGUCCAUUACCUUAUAACAUAAACUUAAACUUCACUAAAAUUAGUUGUCCUCAAGAAGAAAAAUCUACUAUUGCUAUGAUGUUGCCACAGAAUUUUACCAUAUGAUCACUUGAAUCACUUGAUACCACCUGUAAUAUGGGAUGAUGAUAAUGGUGAUGAUAAUAAUAAUGCAAUCAAAUUAUUCACGAGACAAACAGAUUGGAUUUCGUAUAUGCAUAUGAAGUAACCAGAAAUCCGCAAUAAAACCUUUAUCAACCUAUUUGUGAAGAAAUAGAGGGAAAAGGGGGAGGAAGGCAGGGCAGAUCAAUCUCUUUCAACCCGUAGAAAUAGAUUAGAACAGUAAUAGAAUAAAACGCCAAUAUGGUACAUACAACACAAAAUUCAUAAACUAUAGACAUAAACAAAUCAGUAAUCACUAAUCAAGCUUACAUUAAGUAUUGAAGGUUCAGGUAGUGGGCACUGAAUUGGUUGAUCACUGUCGAAAGGCUCAGUUGGGUGCUCAACUGGCUUAAACUCUACUGCUACUUCAAUCCCAUGAGGAGCAGAAGCAGCGCCAGUGGCUGCCCUGGUAAGGUCUGCAUUUGGGGGCAAUACUUCCCUCUCAU